CCUACGGGUGGCAGCAGUGGGGAAUAUUGGGCAAUGGGCGCAAGCCUGACCCAGCAACGCCGCGUGAAGGAAGAAGGCCCUCGGGUUGUAAACUUCUUUUGUCAGGGACGAAGAAAGUGACGGUACCUGACGAAUAAGCCACGGCUAACUACGUGCCAGCAGCCGCGGUAAUACGUAGGUGGCAAGCGUUAUCCGGAUUUACUGGGUGUAAAGGGCGUGGAGGCGGGAGUGCAAGUCAGAUGUGAAAUUCCAGGGCUCAACCCUGGACCUGCAUUUGAAACUGGUGUGCUGGAGUGCGGGAGAGGCAGGCGGAAUUCCGGGUGUAGCGGUGAAAUGCGUAGAUAUACGGAGGAACACCGGUGGCGAAGGCGGCCUGCUGGACAGUAACUGACGCUGAGGCGCGAAAGCGUGGGGAGCAAACAGGAUUAGAUACCCGUGUAGUC
Molecule: ribosomal RNA, 443 nt
Filed under: uncultured bacterium
Lineage: Bacteria
Description: partial 16S ribosomal RNA
Rfam family: Bacterial small subunit ribosomal RNA
Source: RNAcentral